CCUACGGGCGGCUGCAGUGGGGAAUAUUGCACAAUGGGCGCAAGCCUGAUGCAGCCAUGCCGCGUGUGUGAAGAAGGCCUUCGGGUUGUAAAGCACUUUCAGCGGGGAGGAAGGCGGUGAGGUUAAUAACCUCAUCGAUUGACGUUACCCGCAGAAGAAGCACCGGCUAACUCCGUGCCAGCAGCCGCGGUAAUACGGAGGGUGCAAGCGUUAAUCGGAAUUACUGGGCGUAAAGCGCACGCAGGCGGUCUGUCAAGUCGGAUGUGAAAUCCCCGGGCUCAACCUGGGAACUGCAUUCGAAACUGGCAGGCUAGAGUCUUGUAGAGGGGGGUAGAAUUCCAAGUGUAGCGGUGAAAUGCGUAGAGAUCUGGAGGAAUACCGGUGGCGAAGGCGGCCCCCUGGACAAAGACUGACGCUCAGGUGCGAAAGCGUGGGGAGCAAACAGGAUUAGAUACCCCGGUAGUC
Molecule: ribosomal RNA, 465 nt
Filed under: uncultured Klebsiella sp.
Lineage: Bacteria; Pseudomonadati; Pseudomonadota; Gammaproteobacteria; Enterobacterales; Enterobacteriaceae
Description: bacterial SSU rRNA
Rfam family: Bacterial small subunit ribosomal RNA
Source: RNAcentral